GCUCCUUGGGUGGCGAGUGGCGGACGGGUGAGGAAUACAUCGGAAUCUACUCUGUCGUGGGGGAUAACGUAGGGAAACUUACGCUAAUACCGCAUACGACCUACGGGUGAAAGCAGGGGACCUUCGGGCCUUGCGCGAUUGAAUGAGCCGAUGUCGGAUUAGCUAGUUGGCGGGGUAAAGGCCCACCAAGGCGACGAUCCGUAGCUGGUCUGAGAGGAUGAUCAGCCACACUGGAACUGAGACACGGUCCAGACUCCUACGGGAGGCAGCAGUGGGGAAUAUUGGACAAUGGGCGCAAGCCUGAUCCAGCCAUACCGCGUGGGUGAAGAAGGCCUUCGGGUUGUAAAGCCCUUUUGUUGGGAAAGAAAUCCAGCUGGCUAAUACCCGGUUGGGAUGACGGUACCCAAAGAAUAAGCACCGGCUAACUUCGUGCCAGCAGCCGCGGUAAUACGAAGGGUGCAAGCGUUACUCGGAAUUACUGGGCGUAAAGCGUGCGUAGGUGGUCGUUUAAGUCCGUUGUGAAAGCCCUGGGCUCAACCUGGGAACUGCAGUGGAUACUGGGCGACUAGAGUGUGGUAGAGGGUAGCGGAAUUCCUGGUGUAGCAGUGAAAUGCGUAGAGAUCAGGAGGAACAUCCAUGGCGAAGGCAGCUACCUGGACCAACACUGACACUGAGGCACGAAAGCGUGGGGAGCAAACAG
RNAcentral lists this ribosomal RNA (700 nucleotides) under Bacillus tequilensis. RNAcentral's name for it is "bacterial SSU rRNA". It matches the Rfam family "Bacterial small subunit ribosomal RNA", at positions 79 to 775 of the family's 1533-position model. Lineage: Bacteria; Bacillati; Bacillota; Bacilli; Caryophanales; Bacillaceae. The record is from RNAcentral.